RNAcentral lists this ribosomal RNA (489 nucleotides) under uncultured bacterium. RNAcentral describes it as "partial 16S ribosomal RNA". It matches the Rfam family "Bacterial small subunit ribosomal RNA", at positions 30 to 507 of the family's 1533-position model. The record is from RNAcentral.
UUGAACGCUGGCGGCAGGCCUAACACAUGCAAGUCGAACGGUAACAGGAAGCAGCUUGCUGCUUUGCUGACGAGUGGCGGACGGGUGAGUAAUGUCUGGGAAACUGCCCGAUGGAGGGGGAUAACUACUGGAAACGGUAGCUAAUACCGCAUAACGUCGCAAGACCAAAGAGGGGGACCUUAGGGCCUCUUGCCAUCGGAUGUGCCCAGAUGGGAUUAGCUAGUAGGUGGGGUAACGGCUCACCUAGGCGACGAUCCCUAGCUGGUCUGAGAGGAUGACCAGCCACACUGGAACUGAGACACGGUCCAGACUCCUACGGGAGGCAGCAGUGGGGAAUAUUGCACAAUGGGCCCAAGCCUGAUGCAGCCAUGCCGCGUGUAUGAAGAAGGCCUUCGGGUUGUAAAGUACUUUCAGCGGGGAGGAAGGGAGUAAAGUUAAUACCUUUGCUCAUUGACGUUACCCGCAGAAGAAGCACCGGCUAACUCCGUG